This 700-nucleotide unclassified non-coding RNA is filed under the name Boletus sp. 3 CG-2012. RNAcentral's name for it is "sequence contains ITS1, 5.8S rRNA gene, ITS2". The stretch from base 239 to 393 matches the Rfam family "5.8S ribosomal RNA". The record is from RNAcentral. Lineage: Eukaryota; Fungi; Basidiomycota; Agaricomycetes; Boletales; Boletaceae.
UGUCGAGUUCUGAGGGGGGGGGGGAGGGAAGAGGGGAAUGUUGGGACUGUCGCUGGUCCUCCUUCGAAGUGGAGGGGGGCAUGUGCACGUCUGCUUCGCCUGAUUCCUUUCUCUCUUUCUCUGUUCCACCUUACACCUGUGCACUCGUAGUAGGUCCUCGAAAGAGGACCUAUGUGUUUUCUUUCUGCGUCACGCGCCCGUCGUAUGUCUAUAGAAUGUGUCGGAAAUGAAAUCAUACAACUUUCAGCAACGGAUCUCUUGGCUCUCGCAUCGAUGAAGAACGCAGCGAAUUGCGAUAAGUAAUGUGAAUUGCAGAUUUUCAGUGAAUCAUCGAAUCUUUGAACGCACCUUGCGCUCCUUGGUAUUCCGAGGAGCAUGCCUGUUUGAGUGUCAUCGAAUUCUCAAUCCGUGUACUCGAUCUUGCCGUCGAGGCCAUGGCUUGGAUGUUUGGGGGUUGCUGGCCUUGUCGGCUCUCCUGAAAUGCAUUAGCAUGGGGUGGGCGAGUCUUUUCGACGUGCACGGCCUCUCGACGUGAUAAUGAUCGUCGUGGCUGGAGCGUCUGGACGAGCAUGCAUCGUUCCUUGCUUCGAACCUUGAUUUUCCUCUGUUCCCCUUGGACUGGGCUGCUGCUGCUAGUCGGCCGUGAGGCUGGCGAACGUACGUGCCGAGGGGGGGAAGGGGGGGAGACUCUGGACGCUUG